GGGCCGCACGCGCGCUACACUGACGGAGCCAGCGAGUAACAUCCUUAGCCGAGAGGUUUGGGUAAUCUUGUGAAACUCCGUCGUGCUGGGGAUAGAGCAUUGCAAUUAUUGCUCUUCAACGAGGAAUUCCUAGUAAGCGCAAGUCAUCAGCUUGCGUUGAUUACGUCCC
Molecule: ribosomal RNA, 169 nt
Filed under: Liangdongia quercuum
Lineage: Eukaryota; Fungi; Ascomycota; Saccharomycetes; Phaffomycetales; Wickerhamomycetaceae
Description: Starmera quercuum partial 18S rRNA
Rfam family: Eukaryotic small subunit ribosomal RNA
Source: RNAcentral